RNAcentral lists this unclassified non-coding RNA (556 nucleotides) under Hevea brasiliensis (rubber tree). Lineage: Eukaryota; Viridiplantae; Streptophyta; Magnoliopsida; Malpighiales; Euphorbiaceae. The record is from RNAcentral.
AAUGAAACCUUCAAAACUUUCCUCGAGAACUCGAUUCACCUGCCGCAGCUCUCUUUGCCGGAAUCUCGCUUCGUCUCCGGCGCCAAUCCUGCCCCCGCCGUCCUCGAUUUCCGAUCGCUCUUUUCUCCCGGUGGCGGUGAUUUGGCGGCGCGGAUGCUCCGGUCCGUGAAUGAAUUCGGCGCGUUUCGGAUUGUUAAUCACGGGAUAUCCGGCGAGGAGAUUUUGUCGGUGGUGAAUGAAGCUAAAUCCGUGUUGGAAGAUUGUAAUAAGGGAGUUGAUGAUCGGAGCUGGGUCGACGACGACGGAAAUCGGGAGGCGAUCUUGCAGGUACGGCGGCGGAAUGACAGCGAGCCGUCGGGAAAUACAGUUGUACAGUCCGAAACGAACCGCCAAAUCAGCGAAAAGAUGGAGAGAAUAAGAAGCAAACUAGAAGUCAUUGCAGAGAAAUUAAGUGAACUUUUAUGGGAAUGCAUGGGAGAGAAGGUGAAGAAAGGAGAUAGAAAAGAGACAAUUUUUAGCAUUUACAAAUACAAUAAUCAAAAUAUAUAUGAGAAGG